CCUACGGGAGGCAGCAGUGAGGAAUAUUGGUCAAUGGACGAGAGUCUGAACCAGCCAAGUAGCGUGAAGGAUGACUGCCCUAUGGGUUGUAAACUUCUUUUAUAUGGGAAUAAAACGUUCCACGUGUGGGAUUUUGUAUGUACCAUAUGAAUAAGGAUCGGCUAACUCCGUGCCAGCAGCCGCGGUAAUACGGAGGAUCCGAGCGUUAUCCGGAUUUAUUGGGUUUAAAGGGAGCGUAGGUGGAUUGUUAAGUCAGUUGUGAAAGUUUGCGGCUAAACCGUAAAAUUGCAGUUGAAACUGGCAGUCUUGAGUACAGUAGAGGUGAGCGGAAUUCGUGGUGUAGCGGUGAAAUGCUUAGAUAUCACGAAGAACUCCGAUUGCGAAGGCAGUUCACUGGACUGCAACUGACACUGAGGCUCGAAAGUGUGGGUAUCAAACAGGAUUAGAUACCCCGGUAGUC
This 460-nucleotide ribosomal RNA is filed under the name uncultured bacterium. Its description in RNAcentral is "partial 16S ribosomal RNA". It matches the Rfam family "Bacterial small subunit ribosomal RNA", at positions 338 to 795 of the family's 1533-position model. The record is from RNAcentral.